RNAcentral lists this ribosomal RNA (1343 nucleotides) under uncultured bacterium. RNAcentral describes it as "16S ribosomal RNA". It matches the Rfam family "Bacterial small subunit ribosomal RNA", at positions 28 to 1378 of the family's 1533-position model. The record is from RNAcentral.
GACGAACGCUGGCGGCGUGCUUAACACAUGCAAGUCGAACGGAAAGGCCCUGCUUUUGUGGGGUGCUCGAGUGGCGAACGGGUGAGUAACACGUGAGUAACCUGCCCUUGACUUUGGGAUAACUUCAGGAAACUGGGGCUAAUACCGGAUAGGAGCUCCUGCUGCAUGGUGGGGGUUGGAAAGUUUCGGCGGUUGGGGAUGGACUCGCGGCUUAUCAGCUUGUUGGUGGGGUAGUGGCUUACCAAGGCUUUGACGGGUAGCCGGCCUGAGAGGGUGACCGGCCACAUUGGGACUGAGAUACGGCCCAGACUCCUACGGGAGGCAGCAGUGGGGAAUAUUGCACAAUGGGCGGAAGCCUGAUGCAGCAACGCCGCGUACGGGAUGACGGCCUUCGGGUUGUAAACCGCUUUCGCCUGUGACGAAGCGUGAGUGACGGUAAUGGGUAAAGAAGCACCGGCUAACUACGUGCCAGCAGCCGCGGUGAUACGUAGGGUGCGAGCGUUGUCCGGAUUUAUUGGGCGUAAAGGGCUCGUAGGUGGUUGAUCGCGUCGGAAGUGUAAUCUUGGGGCUUAACCCUGAGCGUGCUUUCGAUACGGGUUGACUUGAGGAAGGUAGGGGAGAAUGGAAUUCCUGGUGGAGCGGUGGAAUGCGCAGAUAUCAGGAGGAACACCAGUGGCGAAGGCGGUUCUCUGGGCCUUUCCUGACGCUGAGGAGCGAAAGCGUGGGGAGCGAACAGGCUUAGAUACCCUGGUAGUCCACGCUGUAAACGGUGGGUACUAGGUGUGGGGUCCAUUCCACGGGUUCCGUGCCGUAGCUAACGCUUUAAGUACCCCGCCUGGGGAGUACGGCCGCAAGGCUAAAACUCAAAGGAAUUGACGGGGCCCCGCACAAGCGGCGGAGCAUGCGGAUUAAUUCGAUGCAACGCGUAGAACCUUACCUGGGUUUGACAUGGAUCGGGAGUGCUCAGAGAUGGGUGUGCCUCUUUUGGGGUCGGUUCACAGGUGGUGCAUGGCUGUCGUCAGCUCGUGUCGUGAGAUGUUGGGUUAAGUCCCGCAACGAGCGCAACCCUUGUUCACUGUUGCCAGCACGUUAUGGUGGGGACUCAGUGGAGACCGCCGGGGUCAACUCGGAGGAAGGUGGGGAUGACGUCAAGUCAUCAUGCCCCUUAUGUCCAGGGCUUCACGCAUGCUACAAUGGCUGGUACAGAGAGUGGCGAGCCUGUGAGGGUGAGCGAAUCUCGGAAAGCCGGUCUCAGUUCGGAUUGGGGUCUGCAACUCGAUCUCAUAAAGUCGGAGUCGCUAGUAAUCGCAGAUCAGCAACGCUGCGGUGAAUACGUUCCCGGG